GAGAGUAAGGAGUUGAGUUCUGUGAGGGGCAAUGCUUAUUUUUCACGAGUUUGGGUUGAAGGCAGUACAUUUGUAGGGUGUGGUAGGGGAAGGUGAUUCGGAGAAAACUCCAGGAACAAACUUGCCAACGAAGUUUUCAAGCUGACAAGCAGUUGUCUAUUUCUCUAGAUUAAAGAGUGGCUAAAGAAUGACAAUUCACCGUGAUGUUACGUAUGGCAACUUUCAGCUUUGAUCAUUCCUUCUUCCUUUUUGGACCCUCUUCAUGGGGAGCACAUACUUCCUUGAAGCGUGUUCCCAAAAACUGGAUGUACCACUUCUCAGCUGAAGCCUUCCUAGUGCUGAGUGUGUUUUGCAGGAUGUACUCACCUUGGAGAGUCGUAUGAUGUUGUAUACCUGCACAACAGUGUUUGUGUUCAGGAAGCUUAUGGUCAAAAGGGAUAGGGAGUUCCACUUUGGGAACUGCUACAUGAUCAUCUUUUUUUCAGUCUGGGUUUGUGGAACUGGCUGCACUUUGGCUGGACACAGUUGAAUACUGCUCUGCUCGGACUGGUUCUUGAAUUGGUGGAGGCCAUUCUGACCUGCAAAAUGUACUUUGCCAUUAAACUGUGUCCUUCAAUUGC
Long non-coding RNA from Melopsittacus undulatus (budgerigar), 620 nucleotides. RefSeq lists it as uncharacterized. Lineage: Eukaryota; Metazoa; Chordata; Aves; Psittaciformes; Psittaculidae. The transcript is spliced from 2 exons. The record is from RefSeq and is a predicted model, not a curated record.